GCCAUCUCUGAGCUUGGUAUUACUUAAGUUAUAUAUGGGUCCGGUCCCUAAUAGUAAGCGGAAAUGUUUGAUUUCCUGCAAAAUGGAAGACUGUACAACUAAAGUGCUUGUUCUAUAUUUCAUUUUUAAAAUGGUUAUGGAUAAAUCAAAACAAAAGAUGAAGAACAGGUUAAGUCUUUGAUUUUGUUUUUGACUAAUGUCUUAAAAUUGGUAUGCAGUAGACAAGGACAACUUUUAACCCCACAUACAUCAUCCAAUGGUCAAACAUACAUACCCAACUUAUAUUCUUCCUCUUCUUAAUGCCACUCUCCCUCACCCUCCUCUCUCAUACUUGAGUUAUGCAUAAACCAUCAAACACUUGACUACUUAUACUGUGUUGUCUACUUGAGAUGUCGCUCAAAUGCACUGUUUUAGUAAUAUCGACAAGUUUUCAAGGAAACAAAAACAUAAAAAGUCUAUUAAGCAAACCAUUAAAACCAAGGUAAGUAGCCAUGCUCAACUCGCAAUAUAUAUGUAUUAAGUAUACCCUUUCAACUAUUCAGCCUUAUACCCCAACAACAAGCCUUCUCCCACUAAGUGGGGUCGGCUACAUGGAUCAAAUUACACCAUAAUGUUCUAUCAUAAACCAUUUUUCGAUCCAACUAUUCAACCUUAUAUGGAAAUAAAAAAAAUUCUAUUAGAUCAUCUGUAAGAGAGAGUAAGGAAUGGGUAAAAGAUGCUAUUAUUUGGAGUCCAUGGGAGCACGGAAGCAGGGAGGCAUUCUCCAGUUGGCCAAGCAACAAAAAGAGACAGAAGCAGACAUAAAAUAGUGCGGUUAGAAAUUUCUUGUACUCACAAUUCAUGAUAUAUUUUGUAAACACUAACAGAGACAGGCAUAAAAAUUUAAUUCUGUUGAGCAUAGAUGCAGCUCAUAAUCAAACAAUGAUAAAUUAAAUAGUACUACAUAUAAAAAACUUUCAACUGGGAAGACAAAUUGGCUUGUAGGUUAAGUUAAGAGCAUACAAAUACCUUCAAAAGACCCAAUUCUAUUGAAACCAAUGUAGCUUCAAACUGGUACAAGAAAUCAGGGAAUCUCUGCUUGCGGUCGAAUCAAUUGUGUGAAAAAAUCCAAGCUUUGCACACAAACUCUACUUAAAGAGAGAAAUAUCCUAUUUUAUGGCACAUAAGGACAAGAGGAAGGAAAUCCCAAUCUAGAAGCAGACAUUUAAUGUCUGGUUGAAGUGAUGAUGCCAGUGGCAAGACCAUUGAGAAAGAGAGGGAAAGGGGGGAAGAGAGAGGACUCAAGGAAACAUUCAAAAAUUAGGCUACAAUGACAGUUGGUGCAGUAUUUAAAGCAAAAAAAAAAAAAAAAAAAAUUUAAGGGAAUGGGCAAACCAGUUGCAGCAAAAUAAUUUUUCUAAAAUUGGAACUGUCGAACAGCAUCAUUGUUAUCACAGCUAUAAAGAAAAUGUCAUCAUUGAUGAUAGAGUUCCUCCACAUUUGUGUACAAUUCAAUCGUCCAUGCCUGAGGAUAGUUAUUCAUAGUGACUCUAUGUAGGAAAAUGGUAGCUGCAAAUUUUCACUUUUCCUGUAAACUUUAGUAUAUAUAGCUAGACUUCUUCAACCCAGAGAACCGGGAAAAAUAAUCCAAAACAUCUAACAAAAAAACCACAUAAUAACACUGACAAUUUCUUAAUUGGUCAUAGACCGAUGAAAUGACACUUGUUAUCAAAUUAGAUAUCAAUGGCUAACUGUCUUCCUAACUCAAAAUUUACCUAGAAUACAUUGUCUGAUAGAAAAAUGAGUACACCAUCACCCACAUGUGAUUGCGUUUACAAUAUUGAAGUAAGAUGAAAUUCAGACCGACACAUUAUAUAUAUACUGUAUACUGUACUGUAUUCUAGCAAGUCCCAAAGAUAAGAUCAUGAACAUAAAUUACAAAGAAAAUACUAGGAAUUAUAUGAAUAUAUCAGAAUCACAAAUUUGUUCAAUAAUUCUCACACUCAAUGCUGUGACUGGAUUUAGAUAUUCACUCACAGAGCAUGUAAUAAAUUAAAAUGUGGAUAAAUUAUAUCGAAUAUCUACUAUAAUCGCAGUUUUAUAAUGAAGUUUGGGCAAGUCUUACUUGGGCACAAAGAAGUAACUAUCAUAAUCACAAUUUACAAUGAAGUUUAAUAUUUUUUAUGAAAAGAGACAAAUGUAAUGAAUUUUAAUUAUUCCAUAACAAGUUUAACUUCGGUAUAAAUUUUCCAUUUCAGAUUCACGCGAUGAUCAUAUAUAAUAGUAAUGAACUUAUGUUGUGAUUCUAAAAUCGUAUAUAAUAGUAAUGAACUUUUGUAAAAUGCCCUAGCUAUGGAGUUUUGUGAAUGUUGUGAAUGUUCUGUGAGUCUAAAAUCGUAGCAACAAGUAACACAACAUUCACAAAACAACAGUCGGGAUAAAAAUCCAGCUAAAUUUCAACUCAAAUUUCACACUAUCCAGGACCUUCGUAUCAAUUUUCCACUUAACAACAA
RNAcentral lists this long non-coding RNA (2492 nucleotides) under Medicago truncatula (barrel medic). RNAcentral's name for it is "lncRNA gene7596". The record is from RNAcentral. Lineage: Eukaryota; Viridiplantae; Streptophyta; Magnoliopsida; Fabales; Fabaceae.